Molecule: ribosomal RNA, 41 nt
Filed under: Lactarius rostratus
Lineage: Eukaryota; Fungi; Basidiomycota; Agaricomycetes; Russulales; Russulaceae
Description: partial 28S ribosomal RNA
Source: RNAcentral
UUGGCCUCAAAUCGGGUGAGACUACCCGCUGAACUUAAGCA